CAGAUGUUUUGAAAUGGAGAUCCUUCUAUGUCACAGAGGACUAUGCAUAGGGAAGUAUUUGAUCAUGGCAUUCGUGAAGCAUUGUGCUGUCUAGGAUGGUUCAAUUACUUGACUAGCUUUAUUGCAUAGGUAAAUUAUGUGAAGAGCCACUACCAGUACCUGAGGAAAGGAUCCAUGAGGCUGCUCUCUUCAUCCGUUUGCUGAAGCUGCCUAUACUGCAAGGCGUUUUCUCUCCUUGGGCUCAAAAAGGAUAAGUGUAAAACAGCAUACUUCAUUGUUGUUUUGCACCAUUUGAAAACUGUUGUGAUUGCUGUGCGUGGAACUGAGACCCCUGAAGACCUCAUAACUGAUGGUUUAUGCAGGGAAUGCAGCCUUUCUGAAGGAGAUGGCUUAGUAAAGGAAUAUGCAGCCUUUCUGAAGGGGAUUUUGAUGGCUUUAGUAAAGUAUCUCUCUCUCUCUCUCUCAUGAACACAAUUUUUCCUUUUUACUGUCCUGUGUGGUUGCUAACUUACCUUGUUUGAACUAGAGGUUUAAAUUUUUGGGUGAUCAUGGGUCCACAAUGUUGAACUAAGCUUCAAACGGCACUAGAAACAGGUUCACUUUGAUAAAAUAUUUUUAAAAAAUAUUGGGUUAUUCGAGAAAUAUAGGGAUUAUUUUUUAGUUCAUAUCAUAGAAGCAAGCAAAGAAAACAUAGUAUUAUCAAACCUGAUCAAUAGAUGAAGUUCCAGCAGCUGCAACAACCUUGGAUGGGUAUCAACAUUGACAGUGUUGACCCAUUGACCUUGGAUGGGUAUCAACAUUGACAGUGUUGACCCAUUGACCUUUGCUCUGGUAAUCCACUUGAUGUGCAUGACCCAUUUCGUAUGGUAUGUACACCUGGAUGAUCUUCCCAUUGCGGCCCUUGUACUUUCUCCGCACCAUCAUCUAGCAUGCGCAGGGUGCUGAUGAGCGCACCUGUCAGAUCUCUGGAACAAGUACAACGUACAUUCAGUUUCCAUUUGAAAGGAGCAUUUAUCAACACCCUACGCACGCUAGAUGGUGUAGUAAAGUACGCCUUCUGGCACUUCCAGUGAGAGCUGGAAACAUGGGGGUUGUACUUCAUUCUCUGUGUUGGAUAAUGGCAAAGGCGUUGAGUUUUAGCACAAUUGAUAAAUCUAGAUUGAAAUCUGAAGGAAGAACAAGAAACUAAUUGAAGCCUUUGCUUGUGGGGGGAGAGCAUUGAGAGAUGAGAGAGGGAGAAAAGAGAGAGAAAUAAGAGAGUGACGAGAGAUAGGAAUUUGAAAAAUGUCUUUCAACUAAAAACCUAAGAAGACAUUUACCACCAAAGUGAACAUUUUGUCCUUUGACUAGAAUGAAUAUUUUGUGUUGAUUUUAUUUUCUUUGUAGAAUUGUACCCUAAGUAGAAUUGUAGAAAUUGAACAGGUAGAGAAAUGGGUUUAAAAUUAGCAUUUAUGAUGGAUUACAAGUAAAGGUAGCCUUUUUUGGUACAUAUUGGUUGCUAGGCUGCACAUGCUCUAACAUGUGGACAAAUUGACUAAGAAAUUCAGAGAUGAUGUAAAAUAAACAAAUUGCCCAAAUCUGAAUUCCUAAUUCCCAAUUUGAAACAACAACUCCCAAACUUGGCCAUUAAUUUGCUAUUUCAUUACAGAUUAUUGACAGUCGUUAUCUAACAAUAAUGUUAUCCUAAUCAAUUGGAAGGAGAAAUAUAAUACCUAAUAGGGGGUAUUAUAUUGUCAAAUGAUUACUUAAGUGGUAUUAGUUUUCUUUUGUUUGGCAUGCCACCAAAAUGGUGAAAUUUAAUUAGGUUGUGCACACUAUGAUUUGAGCUUUGCAUGUAGUCAUCAUUAGCAGUCCUACAUACAAAUAAAAUGAACUAUGUGCUUUGCACUUUUACCUAUCAAUAU
This is a long non-coding RNA of Ipomoea triloba (trilobed morning glory), 1904 nucleotides long. RefSeq lists it as uncharacterized. The transcript has 5 exons. The record is from RefSeq and is a predicted model, not a curated record. NCBI's taxonomy places the organism in Eukaryota, Viridiplantae, Streptophyta, Magnoliopsida, Solanales, Convolvulaceae.